GAUGAACGCUGGCGGCGUGCUCAACACAUGCAAGUCGAACGGUAAGGCCCUUCGGGGUACACGAGUGGCGAACGGGUGAGUAACACGUGGGUGAUCUGCCCUGCACUUCGGGAUAAGCCUGGGAAACUGGGUCUAAUACCGGAUAGGACCACUGCCUGCAUGGGUGGUGGUGGAAAGCUUUUGCGGCGUGGGAUGGGCCCGCGGCCUAUCAGCUUGUUGGUGGGGUGAUGGCCUACCAAGGCGACGACGGGUAGCCGGCCUGAGAGGGUGACCGGCCACACUGGGACUGAGAUACGGCCCAGACUCCUACGGGAGGCAGCAGUGGGGAAUAUUGCACAAUGGGCGCAAGCCUGAUGCAGCGACGCCGCGUGAGGGAUGACGGCCUUCGGGUUGUAAACCUCUUUCAGCACCGACGAAGCGCAAGUGACGGUAGGUGCAGAAGAAGGACCGGCCAACUACGUGCCAGCAGCCGCCGCGG
Molecule: ribosomal RNA, 478 nt
Filed under: uncultured bacterium
Lineage: Bacteria
Description: partial 16S ribosomal RNA
Rfam family: Bacterial small subunit ribosomal RNA
Source: RNAcentral